This 497-nucleotide ribosomal RNA is filed under the name uncultured bacterium. Its description in RNAcentral is "partial 16S ribosomal RNA". It matches the Rfam family "Bacterial small subunit ribosomal RNA", at positions 28 to 507 of the family's 1533-position model. The record is from RNAcentral.
GAUGAACGCUGGCGGCGUGCCUAAUGCAUGCAAGUCGAGCGAACAGACGAGGAGCUUGCUCCUCUGACGUUAGCGGCGGACGGGUGAGUAACACGUGGAUAACCUACCUGUAAGACUGGGAUAACUUCGGGAAACCGGAGCUAAUACCGGAUAAUAUAUUGAACCGCAUGGUUCAAUAGUGAAAGACGGUUUUGCUGUCACUUAUAGAUGGAUCCGCGCCGCAUUAGCUAGUUGGUAAGGUAACGGCUUACCAAGGCAACGAUGCGUAGCCGACCUGAGAGGGUGAUCGGCCACACUGGAACUGAGACACGGUCCAGACUCCUACGGGAGGCAGCAGUAGGGAAUCUUCCGCAAUGGGCGAAAGCCUGACGGAGCAACGCCGCGUGAGUGAUGAAGGUCUUCGGAUCGUAAAACUCUGUUAUUAGGGAAGAACAAAUGUGUAAGUAACUAUGCACGUCUUGACGGUACCUAAUCAGAAAGCCACGGCUAACUACGUG